Molecule: ribosomal RNA, 482 nt
Filed under: uncultured bacterium
Lineage: Bacteria
Description: partial 16S ribosomal RNA
Rfam family: Bacterial small subunit ribosomal RNA
Source: RNAcentral
AUUGAACGCUGGCGGCAGGCCUAACACAUGCAAGUCGAGCGGAUGAAGGGAGCUUGCUCCUGGAUUCAGCGGCGGACGGGUGAGUAAUGCCUAGGAAUCUGCCUGGUAGUGGGGGAUAACGUCCGGAAACGGGCGCUAAUACCGCAUACGUCCUGAGGGAGAAAGUGGGGGAUCUUCGGACCUCACGCUAUCAGAUGAGCCUAGGUCGGAUUAGCUAGUUGGUGGGGUAAAGGCCUACCAAGGCGACGAUCCGUAACUGGUCUGAGAGGAUGAUCAGUCACACUGGAACUGAGACACGGUCCAGACUCCUACGGGAGGCGGCAGUGGGGAAUAUUGGACAAUGGGCGAAAGCCUGAUCCAGCCAUGCCGCGUGUGUGAAGAAGGUCUUCGGAUUGUAAAGCACUUUAAGUUGGGAGGAAGGGCAGUAAGUUAAUACCUUGCUGUUUUGACGUUACCAACAGAAUAAGCACCGGCUAACUUCG